GUGGGGAAUAUUGGACAAUGGGCGAAAGCCUGAUCCAGCCAUGCCGCGUGUGUGAAGAAGGUCUUCGGAUUGUAAAGCACUUUAAGUUGGGAGGAAGGGCAGUAAGUUAAUACCUUGCUGUUUUGACGUUACCGACAGAAUAAGCACCGGCUAACUUCGUGCCAGCAGCCGCGGUAAUACGAAGGGUGCAAGCGUUAAUCGGAAUUACUGGGCGUAAAGCGCGCGUAGGUGGUUUUGUAAGUUGGAGGUGAAAUCCCCGGGCUCAACCUGGGGACUGCCUCCAAAACUGCAUGACUAGAGUACGGUAGAGGGUAGUGGAAUUUCCUGUGUAGCGGUGAAAUGCGUAGAUAUAGGAAGGAACACCAGUGGCGAAGGCGACUACCUGGACUGAUACUGACACUGAGGUGCGAAAGCGUGGGGAGCAAACAGGAUUAGAAACCCGGGUAGUCC
Molecule: ribosomal RNA, 450 nt
Filed under: uncultured bacterium
Lineage: Bacteria
Description: partial 16S ribosomal RNA
Rfam family: Bacterial small subunit ribosomal RNA
Source: RNAcentral